CCAGACUCCUACGGGAGGCAGCAGUGGGGGAUAUUGGACAAUGGGGGGAACCCUGAUCCAGCGACGCCGCGUGAGUGAAGAAGUAUCUCGGUAUGUAAAGCUCUAUCAGCAGGGAAGAAAGAAAUGACGGUACCUGAGUAAGAAGCCCCGGCUAACUACGUGCCAGCAGCCGCGGUAAUACGUAGGCGCAAGCGUUAUCCGGAUUUACUGGGUGUAAAGGGAGCGUAGACGGCAGUGCAAGUCUGAAGUGAAAGCCCCGGGCUUAACCCGGGAAUUGCUUUGGAAACUGUACGGCUGGAGUGCUGGAGAGGUAAGCGGAAUUCCUAGUGUAGCGGUGAAAUGCGUAGAUAUUAGGAGGAACACCAGUGGCGAAGGCGGCUUACUGGACAGUAACUGACGUUGAGGCUCGAAAGCGUGGGGAGCAAACAGGAUUAGAUACCCCAGUAGA
Molecule: ribosomal RNA, 448 nt
Filed under: uncultured bacterium
Lineage: Bacteria
Description: bacterial SSU rRNA
Rfam family: Bacterial small subunit ribosomal RNA
Source: RNAcentral